This 130-nucleotide ribosomal RNA is filed under the name Neogale vison (American mink). The record is from RNAcentral. Lineage: Eukaryota; Metazoa; Chordata; Mammalia; Carnivora; Mustelidae.
GUCUACGGCCAUACCACCCUGAACGCACCCGAUCUCGUCUGAUCUCGGAAGCUAAGCAGGGUUGGGCCUGGUUAGUACUUGGAUGGGAGAAAGUGAAGGUGAACAGUGUAUUUCAAGUACGCCUAAGGUU